CUAAGAAUCUUCCUCAAUGGGGGAAACCCUGAAGGAGCGACACUGCGUGCAGGAUGAAGGCCCUUUGGGUUGUAAACUGCUUUUGUAGGGGAGAAACAACCGAAUGGGAUGAUAGUACCCUACGAAUAAGUCCCGGCUAACUACGUGCCAGCAGCCGCGGUAAAACGUAAGGGGCGAACGUUGCUCGGAAUUACUGGGCGUAAAGGGCCGGUAGGUGGCUUUAUAAGUCAGUUGUCAAAUACCCAUGCUCAACGUGGGAGAGGCGACUGAUACUGUAGAGCUUGAGUAGAGGAGGGGAUGACGGGAAUACCCGGGUGUAGGGGUGAAAUCUGUUGAUAUCGGGUAGAACACCGGAUGGCGAAAGCGGUCAUCUAGCCUCAUACUGACACUCAACGGCGAAAG
This 402-nucleotide ribosomal RNA is filed under the name uncultured bacterium. RNAcentral's name for it is "bacterial SSU rRNA". It matches the Rfam family "Bacterial small subunit ribosomal RNA", at positions 355 to 759 of the family's 1533-position model. The record is from RNAcentral.